GCCGGCGUGGCGGAAUUGGUAGACGCACUUGACUCAAAAUCAAGCGGGAAACCGUGGGGGUUCGAGUCCCCCCGCCGGCA
This 80-nucleotide transfer RNA is filed under the name Deinococcus proteolyticus MRP. It matches the Rfam family "tRNA". Rfam says of the family: Transfer RNA (tRNA) molecules are approximately 80 nucleotides in length. Lineage: Bacteria; Thermotogati; Deinococcota; Deinococci; Deinococcales; Deinococcaceae. The record is from Rfam by way of RNAcentral.